GGUAGUAGGAGGGAAACAUGAAUGCGUGAAUUUGAUUUUGAUUUCCUCACUCGUGAGAUUGAUGAGCGAGACUUUUACUAUAGGAGAGACAACCAUCACAAUCACUUAUCAAGCAAGGUGAUAAAAUAUGAAAAAAUAUGUGAUGUCAAUCAGUAUGUUUUUAUACCAUUUGCGUUCAACACUUUAAGUUCCUAGAACGAGAGGCUGCAGAUCUUCUCCAAAGAGUUCAAAUGGUUAUGUAUAACAAUUUUGUGUUCCUUGGGUCUAUAGAAGUAGUAGUUUUUAAUAUGACUGGUUUUGCCAUCUAAAAAGAGUUAGCGGCGCAACUUGUUGUACACUUGCCUUUUAUUUUUGUGUAACUUUCUAAAUAAAAAGUAAUUGUUAUAAAUAUUAUAAGUGGAAUGUGAAUGUCCACAACCCUUGUGUUUAUCUCUUUAGUGAUACAUUUGCUUAACUCCCAAGUCACAUUUUUCCAGUACUUAUCUCUUAAGUACUUAACUCUUAAGUCAUAUCAUUAUACUUCUCUAUAAAUAUAGAUCAUAUGUAACAUAUUGUACACCACAAGAUAAUAAUAUAAUCCUCUUUCUUCUCUCUCUAUUCUCUCUUCUUCUCUUUAAUCUUGUUAUUCUUAUUCAUAUUCUAAUAGUUUCAUAACAAUAAUAUUAUUAUAAAUUAUAAUUUUAAUAAUAUUAAAAAAACAACUGGAAAUUGAGCAUGACAAGACACCAAUGCUAAAUAAUAAAACCCUUAAAGUAUGCAUGUUGCUUGAUUUAUGUAAGCAAAAUAAGAUUUUAUUGAGUUUGAAACCACACUUCAAUUUAUGGGUUUUAUUUCUUCUAGUAUUAGGGGGUUUUUGCUUUCAAUUUGUUAUAUGAGAGAAGAAGGAAGAAGAUGAAGCUGACAUGGAUGUUCUGAAUUGAUAUUAUUUAAAUUUCCGUAAGUAAUAUGGUUAACAACCACAUGUAUUUUUACAAUUUAAUUUCUUAAAGUUGUUAACCAUGCAAACAAAAUGUAAUAUAAAAUACUCAAAAAUUUAAAAAAUCAAUCGAGGAAAUUGAGCAAACUUAAAGUACCACAAAUGUAUUUUUUGCUUUAUAUAUAUUUUUUUGCAAUAUUUGAAUCAUAAAAUAUUUUUAGGUUUAAAUGUGUCAUUGGUCCCUGCACUUUCAUCAGAUUUUGACAUUGGUCCCUGCACUUUGUAAAAAUAUUGGUAUUGGUCCCUCUGUUAACUUUCUGUUAAAAAAAAAAACACAAAACCAACGGAGUGCCACGUGGCCCAAUCAUUUCACGCCACGUGGCACUAAUAUCAAUAUUUUUACAAAGUGCAGGGACCAAUAUCAAUAUUUUUACAAAGUGCAGAGACCAAUUCCAAACAAAAAAUGUGUAGGGACCAAUGCCAAAAGCUAAUGAAAGUGCAAGGACUAAAGACAUAUUUAAACCAUAUUUUUAUGAUGUGUUAAUUUUAGAUUCAUUGACAAUAUAUAAAUUUAAAAUAUUUAAAUCGACAUCAUGAAAAAAAUGAAACUUUAAAUUUAAAGGCAUCUUCAAUUUUUUUAUUCUCUAAUAAUAAACAAAAUUUAUCCAAGGUACUUUAAUUUAGAGUAAAGUAAAAAAAGAUGUAAUAAAAUAUAGACUUACGAGAAGUUAAGAGAAUAACGAGGAAAAAACAAAUGCUAACGAUUGAUUUCCUCUCCAUUAUUAUUGUUUUCAAAGCUGACAUGUGUUGCUAUUUUUAUAGAGCCCUUGAAGUUAAACUUGAAAGAACAUUUCAACCAUCGAUCAACAUGAAAAGUCACCACAAGUUGGAUGCAAUUCAUUAGCCUAUGUUUGGAUAUAAUUCAAUAUUUAUCACUUCUCAAUGUAAAAGGUCGUGACUUUUCAGAACUACAACAUGUAUAUUUAAACUAGACACAAACAUGAAGUACCCCCAACAUAAAUUUUAAUUAAGAUCAUAGUUGUUGUUUUUCUUAAAAUUAAUAUUUUAGUUGCUCUAUGACACAAUUGAAGUUCUACUUAAUUUCUCCAUGUAAAGGUUAUGUUUAGUGACAUGAAUAAGUAAAGGAAAUACUACUAUAAAAGUCAAUUGCCAGUAGAUUUUGUGCUUGUAAUAAUGAAAUGUUGAGACAUAGCAAUAAAGUUAUGUGUUUUGAGAAAAUCAAAGUUUAUUGCAGCUAAUUGU
RNAcentral lists this long non-coding RNA (2179 nucleotides) under Medicago truncatula (barrel medic). RNAcentral's name for it is "long non-coding RNA (MTRU_LNC005830)". The record is from RNAcentral. Lineage: Eukaryota; Viridiplantae; Streptophyta; Magnoliopsida; Fabales; Fabaceae.